GUUUGAUCCUGGCUCAGGACGAACGCUGUCGGCGCGCCUAAAACAUGCAAGUCGAACGAGAUACCCGGGCUUGCCCGGGUGGACAGUGGCGAACGGGUGAGUAACACGUGAGGAACCUGCCCCGAAGACCGCGGACAACACCGGGAAACCGGUGCUAAUACCGGAUGCCCUCACCGGACCGCAUGAUCCGGUGAGGAAAUGGAUUCCGCUUCGGGAUGGCCUCGCGGCCUAUCAGCUAGUUGGUGGGGUAACGGCCCACCAAGGCGACGACGGGUAGCUGGUCUGAGAGGAUGUCCAGCCACACUGGGACUGAGACACGGCCCAGACUCCUACGGGAGGCAGCAGUUAGGAAUCUUGCGCAAUGGACGAAAGUCUGACGCAGCGACGCCGCGUGCGGGAUGAAUGCCUUCGGGUUGUAAACCGCUUUCAGCAGGGACGAAAUUGACGGUACCUGCAGAAGAAGCCCCGGCCAACUACGUGCCAGCAGCCGCGGUAAUACGUAGGGGGCAAGCGUUGUCCGGAUUUAUUGGGCGUAAAGAGCUCGUAGGCGGUUUGGCAAGUCGGAUGUGAAAUCUCCAGGCUCAACCUGGAGGGGUCAUUCGAAACUGCUAUGACUAGAGUUCGGUAGAGGAGUGUGGAAUUCCUGGUGGAGCGGUGAAAUGCGCAGAUAUCAGGAGGAACACCCGUAGCGAAGGCGGCACUCUGGGCCGAUACUGACGCUGAGGAGCGAAAGCGUGGGGAGCGAACAGGAUUAGAUACCCUGGUAGUCCACGCCGUAAACGUUGGGCACUAGGUGUGGGGUUCUAUCGACGGAUUCCGUGCCGUAACUAACGCAUUAAGUGCCCCG
This 847-nucleotide ribosomal RNA is filed under the name uncultured Actinomycetes bacterium. RNAcentral describes it as "bacterial SSU rRNA". It matches the Rfam family "Bacterial small subunit ribosomal RNA", at positions 11 to 871 of the family's 1533-position model. The record is from RNAcentral. Lineage: Bacteria; Bacillati; Actinomycetota; Actinomycetes.